Long non-coding RNA from Peromyscus eremicus (cactus mouse), 951 nucleotides. RefSeq lists it as uncharacterized. The record is from RefSeq and is a predicted model, not a curated record. NCBI's taxonomy places the organism in Eukaryota, Metazoa, Chordata, Mammalia, Rodentia, Cricetidae. The transcript has 3 exons.
UUCAUUGCAAUGAGUCAUUGGUCUGGUUCAAGGCCUCUGGCACUCCAUCACCUCUGGACCCUCAUGGAAACUCCUCUCAGGCUCUCCUGGCCCCCUGCACAGGGAUCCUGAACUGAGGCUGGUUCGUCCGCAACUACUCACUUUCCAUCUGCCUGGCUGCCGGAUCACUUCACACAACACCGGCUACUUCAGUGCCAUGGGAAACAAGGGCUCCAAUCCCAUAAGCCCCACAUUUCCUCCCGGAUGCCUUUUGGAAAUCUUCAGAUCUCUAAACUUAAUGCCCUACUCACAGACUUCUGAGCUUCUCCACCUCUGCACUAAAAAAUGGUCUAAAUAUCCUUCAGAUAACAAUAAAAAAUGGUCACCUAAUGGCUCGCUGGACCCCGAUAUUUUACGGGAGUGAUCUAACGUCUACCAGCAAACGGGCAAAUGGAAAGAGUUACUUUAUAUCCAAACUUUUCUCUGUCUCAGCUCCAAACCUUGAUUCCUACUCACCUGCCCACGUGCUCCUAGUUAUGCGACCUGACCCAGAGGAACCUCUCACCACUACUCUAGACCUGCUAAUAAACCCUCGUCUUUCUGACCUCCUGCUCCUUCUCUUCCAGCAACUGUUCCUUCGGCUCCUCCAGCCCCUUCCUCCUCUCUGCUACCAGGCCACUCCAACCACCUGACUCUGGCUCCCACCCUUACUCCUCCUGUCAUGUGUCCUCAAGCUGCUAAGGAACCCCACCCCAGUCAAACCAACCUGGCACCCAUCCUCCCUUUGUGAGAGGUAGCAGGGUGGAUGGACUGGUUAAGGUACAUGUCCCUUUCUCACUGGCAGAACUCUCUCAGAUAGAAAAGAAACUGGGUUUUGUAGUGGGUAGCCAUUCCAGCUUUGAUCUGGAAGUUCCAACCCCCACUGAGGCUUCGGUAACUGUCACGCCUACAAGGUGGGGCCGAGAGAGGACC